RNAcentral lists this ribosomal RNA (253 nucleotides) under uncultured bacterium. RNAcentral describes it as "partial 16S ribosomal RNA". It matches the Rfam family "Bacterial small subunit ribosomal RNA", at positions 524 to 776 of the family's 1533-position model. The record is from RNAcentral.
UACAGAGGCCUCGAGCGUUAGGCGGAAUCACUGGGUUUAAAGGGUGCGUAGGCGGCCUAUUAAGUCAGGGGUGAAAGACGGUGGCUCAACCAUCGCAGUGCCUUUGAUACUGAUAGGCUUGAAUACACUAGAGGUAGGCGGAAUGUGACAAGUAGCGGUGAAAUGCAUAGAUAUGUCACAGAACACCGAUUGCGAAGGCAGCUUACUAUGGUGUCAUUGACGCUGAGGCACGAAAGCGUGGGGAUCAAACAGG